Cricetulus griseus (Chinese hamster) is the source of this 396-nucleotide non-coding RNA. Lineage: Eukaryota; Metazoa; Chordata; Mammalia; Rodentia; Cricetidae. The record is from the annotation of a RefSeq genome assembly.
AUGGCCUGGAUUCCUCUCCUCUUCUUCCUCCUUCAUUGCUCAGGGUCUUUCUCCCAAUCUGUGCUGACUCAGUCACCCUCUGCCUCUGCCUCCCUGGGAGCCUCAGUCAAACUCACCUGCACCGUGAGUAGUGAGCACAGCAGCUAUACCAUUUAUUGGUACCAGCAACAUCCAGAGAAGGCUCCUAAGUAUGUGAUGUAUCUUAAUAAUGAUGGAAGCCACAACAAGGGAGAUGGGAUCCCUGAUCGAUUCUCUGGCUCCAGCUCUGGGGCUCAUCGCUACUUAAGCAUCACCGACCUGCAGCCUGAGGAUGAAGCAAUCUAUCACUGUGGAAGAAAUGAAAUGGAAGGAAAAGUUGGUUUUUACCUGUUUGACCUCACUCUUGCUGUCCAUUAA